GGAAGGUGGGGACGACGUCAAGUCAUCAUGGCCCUUACGACCAGGGCUACACACGUGCUACAAUGGCGUAUACAAAGGGAAGCGAAGGUGCGAGCUGGAGCGGAUCUCAUAAAGUACGUCUAAGUUCGGAUUGGAGUCUGCAACUCGACUCCAUGAAGUCGGAAUCGCUAGUAAUCGUAGAUCAGAAUGCUACGGUGAAUACGUUCCCGGGCCUUGUACACACCGCCCGUCACACCAUGGGAGUGGGUUGCACCAGAAGUAGAUAGCUUAACCGCGAGGGGGGCGUUUACCACGGUGUGAUUCAUGACUGGGGUGAAGUCGUAACAAGGUAACCA
RNAcentral lists this ribosomal RNA (335 nucleotides) under uncultured Enterobacteriaceae bacterium. RNAcentral's name for it is "bacterial SSU rRNA". It matches the Rfam family "Bacterial small subunit ribosomal RNA", at positions 1168 to 1502 of the family's 1533-position model. Lineage: Bacteria; Pseudomonadati; Pseudomonadota; Gammaproteobacteria; Enterobacterales; Enterobacteriaceae. The record is from RNAcentral.